CACUAAGAAGCUAUUUAGGCCUGUAGCAUUAGCCUUUUAAGCUAAAGAUUGGUGACUGCCACCCACCCCUAGUGA
This 75-nucleotide transfer RNA is filed under the name Samariscus latus (deep-body righteye flounder). RNAcentral describes it as "tRNA-Lys". The record is from RNAcentral. Lineage: Eukaryota; Metazoa; Chordata; Actinopteri; Pleuronectiformes; Samaridae.